UAAGUUCACUCUUCACUAAUGCAGGUACAUGUUAAUUUAUAGGAUAUAAUCAAUCUUGGGCCAGUUCCCUUCGACAUCUUUCUGUAAGGUGCUCAUAAUUUUAUAUAUUAAGGUGUGCAAAUGAGGUGAGACUGCCAAUCCAAUGUGGUAAUGCUGUCAAACCACAAUAGUUGUAAAUUGAGAGACGUUGAAGAGUUGAAACAUGUCGAUGCAGCUCAUCUAGAAGAAAUAUCAAAAUCACAUAUCUUCUAUAUGGACAAAGACUCCAAUGGAGAAUCAAUAACAAGUAUUAACUGCCGCAAUACCUCUUCUCUCACUGUAGACAGUAGCAAUUUCUUAAGACAAGGUAACAAAGACACUUGCAAGGAUGUCUAGAAUAGAAAAAAGACUCUGAGCUCAGGGCAUUGCGAGAUCUUUAAACUAGAAAGAAGAGGAGAUGAAUGCAGUUCCAAGGACGCUAACUCCUUACAAUACUCGAUAUCUAAUUGUGAAAGAUAAGGAAAUGAAGGAGGUGGUUGUGUUGGUAACAUUUCCAGGCCCCAAUACCGGAGACACCAACUCAAGCUUCAUCUUCAUUAUCUAACAAAAGAAGCUCACUGCAACAUUUAUUCAAGGUAUCAAAGGUGAUGAAAUAUUGAAUCCCCUCGUAGAGAUGUCCAAGCUCCACCAUUAUCCCUUGUACAUUCAAUUGACAACAAUUACAU
RNAcentral lists this long non-coding RNA (704 nucleotides) under Vitis vinifera (wine grape). Its description in RNAcentral is "long non-coding RNA (VVIN_LNC006697)". Lineage: Eukaryota; Viridiplantae; Streptophyta; Magnoliopsida; Vitales; Vitaceae. The record is from RNAcentral.